GAUGAACGCUGGCGGCGUGCCUAAUACAUGCAAGUCGAACGCUUCACUUCGGUGAAGAGUGGCGAACGGGGGAGUAAUACAUAAGUAACCUGGCAUCUACAGGGGGAUAACUGAUGGAAACGUCAGCUAAGACCGCAUAGGUGUAGAGAUCGCAUGAACUCUAUAUGAAAAGUGCUACGGGACUGGUAGAUGAUGGACUUAUGGCGCAUUAGCUUGUUGGUAGGGUAACGGCCUACCAAGGCGACGAUGCGUAGCCGACCUGAGAGGGUGACCGGCCACACUGGGACUGAGACACGGCCCAGACUCCUACGGGAGGCAGCAGUAGGGAAUUUUCGGCAAUGGGGGGAACCCUGACCGAGCAACGCCGCGUGAAGGAAGAAGUAAUUCGUUAUGUAAACUUCUGUCAUAGAGGAAGAACGGUGGAUAUAGGGAAUGAUAUCCAAGUGACGGUACUCUAUAAGAAAGCCACGGCUAACUACGUG
Molecule: ribosomal RNA, 482 nt
Filed under: uncultured bacterium
Lineage: Bacteria
Description: partial 16S ribosomal RNA
Rfam family: Bacterial small subunit ribosomal RNA
Source: RNAcentral